RNAcentral lists this long non-coding RNA (257 nucleotides) under Malus domestica (apple). RNAcentral describes it as "long non-coding RNA (MDOM_LNC015496)". Lineage: Eukaryota; Viridiplantae; Streptophyta; Magnoliopsida; Rosales; Rosaceae. The record is from RNAcentral.
AAAAAAUAUGGGUACAAUACAAAUAAAACUUAAAAAAAAUAUGGGCACAAAAAGAAAUUAAUAUAUGGGUACAAAUUAAAACUGAAAGGAAAAUUGGUACAAAUUAAAAAAGGGUUGCAAAUUAAAAUGGGUACAAACUAAAAAUAAAAAUAUAUGAUAAAAAAUUUAGCCAUAAAUAUAAAUAUACUAAUUGUAACAUUUUUAAUAUUAAAUGAAUAUAUUUAGAAAUAAAAAAUAUUAUAUUAUUGAAAUAAUUA